GAGUUUGAUCCUGGCUCAGAACGUACGCUGGCGGCACGCCUAACACAUGCAAGUCGAACGAAGUAGCAAUACUUAGUGGCAGACGGGUGAGUAACAUGUAGGUAUCUGCCCUUUGGCCUGGAAUAACACGAGGAAACUUGUGCUAAUACCGGAUAAGUCUUUACGGAGAAAGCUUUAUGCACCAUUGGAUGAGCCUGCACUUGAUUAGUUUGUUGGUGGGGUAAUGGCCUACCAAGACUGUGAUCAAUAGCUGAUUUGAGAGGAUGAUCAGCCACAUUGGGACUGAGACACGGCCCAAACUCCUACGGGAGGCAGCAGUGGGGAAUCUUGCACAAUGGAGGAAACUCUGAUGCAGCGAUGCCGCGUGAGUGAAGAAGGCCCUUGGGUUGUAAAGCUCUUUCGUCGGGGAAGAAAAUGACUGUACCCGAAUAAGAAGGUCCGGCUAACUUCGUGCCAGCAGCCGCGGUAAUACGAAGGGACCGAGCGUAGUUCGGAAUUACUGGGCUUAAAGAGUUCGUAGGUGGUUGAAAAAGUUAGUGGUGAAAUCCCAGGGCUUAACUCUGGAACUGCCAUUAAAACUUUUCAGCUAGAGUAUGAUAGAGGAAAGCAGAAUUUCUAGUGUAGAGGUGAAAUUCGUAGAUAUUAGAAAGAAUACCAAUUGCGAAGGCAGCUUUCUGGAUCAUUACUGACACUGAGGAACGAAAGCAUGGGUAGCGAAGAGGAUUAGAUACCCUCGUAGUCCAUGCCGUAAACGAUGUGUGUUAGACGUUGGAAAUUUAUUUUCAGUGUCGCAGGGAAACCGAUAAACACACCGCCUGGGGAGUACGACCGCAAGGUUAAAACUCAAAUGAAUUGACGGGGACCCGCACAAGUAGUGGAGCAUGUGGUUUAAUUCGAAGAUACGCGCAGAACCUUACCAACACUUGACAUGUUCGUCGCGACUCUAAGAGAUUAGAGUUUUCGGUUCGGCCGGACGAAACACAGGUGCUGCAUGGCUGUCGUCAGCUCGUGUCGUGAGAUGUUGGGUUAAGUCCCGCAACGAGCGCAACCCUCACUUUUAGUUGCCAUCAUUAAGUUGGGCACUCUGAAAGAACUGCCAGUGAUAAGCUGGAGGAAGGUGGGGAUGACGUCAAGUCCUCAUGGCCCUUACGUGUUGGGCUACACACGUGCUACAAUGGUAUCUACAACAGGAAGCAAGACUGCGAAGUUAAGCAAAUCCCUAAAAGAUACCUCAGUUCGGAUUGCACUCUGCAACUCGAGUGCAUGAAGCUGGAAUUACUAGUAAUCGUGGAUCAGCGUGCCACGGUGAAUGCGUUCCCGGGUCUUGUACACACCGCCCGUCACACCAUGGGAGUUGGUUCUACCUUAAGGCAAGGUUUUAAACCCUUGACCACGGUAUAGUCAGCGACUGGGGUGAAGUCGUAACAAGGUAACC
RNAcentral lists this ribosomal RNA (1435 nucleotides) under uncultured marine bacterium. RNAcentral describes it as "bacterial SSU rRNA". It matches the Rfam family "Bacterial small subunit ribosomal RNA". The record is from RNAcentral.